CUCAUGGAGGUGGGUUGGAGGUGGGAACGCGAUUGUUUAAAGGCAGAGCCACAUCCUUCAUCUCAGGUGACCCUCAGAACAACCUUGUAACCACGUCAGAGACAUUUUAAGUUCUUCCCGGUAGAAUGUAAGCUCUGUGAAGCCAGGGCCUAUGCAAGCUGAGCGAAUUUUCACGUCUGUAUACACCAUGAAGUCAUCUCAGAUCAAGAUAUGCAGUGUUUUCAGCACCUUAGAAUGUUCCUUGGGCCCCUUCCCAGUCAAUACGGGCUCCAGAGUUAAUCACUAUUCUGACCUCUAUUGCCUGAGAUGAAUUGAUGGACACUGGGGGUGGUUUUUUUUUUUUAAAGAUUUUAUUUAUUGAUUUGACAGAAAGAGAGAGAAAGAGCACAAGAAGGCAGAGACACAGGCAGAGGGAGAAGCAGACUCCCCACUGAGCAGGGAGCCCGAUGUGGGACUCGAUCCCAGGACCCUGGGAUCAUGACCUGAGCCGAAGGCAGACGAUUCGCCGACUGGGCCACCCAGGCGCCCCGACUCUCAGCUUCCAGAUGAGAAAACUGAGGCGGGGAUUUGAAUUUGUGCCAGGUGUGGAGGUGUUCGUCACCUGUGCCAUCCGCCAGGUGGGCUCUGCGGGAAUCGGGGAUCAGUGAGGGUUACUGCAGGAGAGCCAAGGCUGAGGUGGCCCGGACCUGGGCUCACUCCCCACUGCUCCCGUCAACCUGUGUGUCUUUGGCCUCUCCCGCUCAUAGAUCUCAGCCACCACAUGCUUUUUUUUUUUUUUUUUAAGAUUUUAUUUGUGGGGUGCAGGAGAGCACAGAGGGAGAGGGAGAAGCAGACUCCCCACUGAGCAGAGACCCUCUUGUGGGACUUGAUCCCAGGCCCUGAGACCAUGACCUGGGCCAAAGGCAGACACUGAACCGACUGAGCCGCCCAGGCACCCUACCAUGUGCUGUCUCCUGCACGGCUGUCAGCCCACAGAGCUCCAACACCCCCGGUGACCCCCCAGCCACCACUACCCCCGGUAAUAUAUCGGCACCCAG
RNAcentral lists this long non-coding RNA (1037 nucleotides) under Canis lupus familiaris (dog). RNAcentral describes it as "lncRNA (ENSCAFG00845001956.1)". The record is from RNAcentral. Lineage: Eukaryota; Metazoa; Chordata; Mammalia; Carnivora; Canidae.